UUGGCUUGAAAUACGGAGCACA
RNAcentral lists this non-coding RNA (22 nucleotides) under Arabidopsis thaliana (thale cress). The record is from RNAcentral. Lineage: Eukaryota; Viridiplantae; Streptophyta; Magnoliopsida; Brassicales; Brassicaceae.